This 388-nucleotide ribosomal RNA is filed under the name uncultured bacterium. Its description in RNAcentral is "bacterial SSU rRNA". It matches the Rfam family "Bacterial small subunit ribosomal RNA", at positions 29 to 416 of the family's 1533-position model. The record is from RNAcentral.
AUUGAACGCUGGCGGAAUGCUUUACACAUGCAAGUCGAGCGGCAGCACGGGGGCAACCCUGGUGGCGAGCGGCGAACGGGUGAGUAAUACAUCGGAACAUGCCCAGUCGGUGGGGGGAUAACACUUCGAAAGAAGUGCUAAUACCGCAUACGUCCUGAGGGAGAAAGCGGGGGAUCGCAAGACCUCGCGCGAUUGGAGUGGCCGAUGUCAGAUUAGCUAGUUGGUGGGGUAAAGGCCUACCAAGGCAACGAUCUGUAGCUGGUCUGAGAGGAUGAUCAGCCACACUGGGACUGAGACACGGCCCAGACUCCUACGGGAGGCAGCAGUGGGGAAUUUUGGACAAUGGGGGCAACCCUGAUCCAGCCAUUCCGCGUGAGUGAAGAAGGCC